This 497-nucleotide ribosomal RNA is filed under the name uncultured bacterium. Its description in RNAcentral is "partial 16S ribosomal RNA". It matches the Rfam family "Bacterial small subunit ribosomal RNA", at positions 28 to 507 of the family's 1533-position model. The record is from RNAcentral.
GAUGAACGCUGGCGGCGUGCCUAAUACAUGCAAGUCGAGCGAACAGAUGAGGAGCUUGCUCCUCUGACGUUAGCGGCGGACGGGUGAGUAACACGUGGAUAACCUACCUAUAAGACUGGGAUAACUUCGGGAAACCGGAGCUAAUACCGGAUAAUAUAUUGAACCGCAUGGUUCAAUAGUGAAAGACGGUUUUGCUGUCACUUAUAGAUGGAUCCGCGCCGCAUUAGCUAGUUGGUAAGGUAACGGCUUACCAAGGCAACGAUGCGUAGCCGACCUGAGAGGGGGAUAGGCCGCACGAGAGGGUGGACGCGCACCAGGGGCCUGCGAGAGGGCCCAGUAGGGAAUGGGACGCAAUGGGGGAAAAUAUUACGAAAUGAGCGGGAGUGAGUGAUAGAAGUCUUCGGUGCGUAAACAUCGGUUACGGGGUAAGAACAGAUGUCGAAGUAACCAAAGCCUGCGUGACGGUACCGGGUCAAGAAGCAACGGCUAACUACGUG